GUAGGGAGCAAGCGUUAUCCGGGAUUUACUGGGGCGUAAAGCGUCUGUAGGCUGUGUAUAUAGUCAAAUGUUAAAUCUACAGGGCUCAACUUGUAGUCUGCAUUUGAUACUUAUGUACUAGAGAUAGGGAGAGGUAAACGGAAUUUCCGGUGUAGCAGUGAAAUGCGUAGAUAUCGGAAGGAACACCAAUGGCGAAGGCAGUUUACUGGCCCUUUUCUGACGUUGAGAGACGAAAGCGUGGGUAGCGAACGGGAUUAGAUACCCCGGUAGUCCACGCUGUAAACGAUGGAUGCUAGAUGUUGGAGGCUCGACCCCUUCAGUAUCGAAGCUAACGCGUUAAGCAUCCCGCCUGGGGAGUACGAUCGCAAGAUUA
RNAcentral lists this ribosomal RNA (373 nucleotides) under uncultured organism. RNAcentral describes it as "partial 16S ribosomal RNA". It matches the Rfam family "Bacterial small subunit ribosomal RNA", at positions 527 to 896 of the family's 1533-position model. The record is from RNAcentral.